UCUGAAUUCUUAAAGCCUAUGCCAUAAGAAACAACAACAAAGGAGCAAGGAUGAAGAGAACCACCACCAAAUAUAAAUCAUGAACUUUGAUUACAUUAAAAAAACUAAUGAAGACUUUUUAUAUGCUGACAACUAAGUAAAUUUUAAUAUUAAUACAAAGAAGGUGACAUUGCAUUUGAUAGUGAUUUUCUUAUUUUAAUGUGGUGAUAUAGGAAAUCAUCCUUAUCUAAGGAGAUGCAUGUUCAGAUUUUGAGACAAGAAUCGUGAUGACUUCAAUUUCAGACAGAUCAAGAAUAUGAAGGAAUGAGCAGGACAUGAGCAGGACACGGUUGGGAAGUUACACACUGAUCCACUCUCCUAGAUACCAAUGUUUUUGGUGUCAAGCAGGAAAUAGAACCUACGAGUAAGGAGAACACUUGUGUUACAUUGAAAGUCCACCCAGAUAAUCCAAAAUAAUUUCACCAUUUCAAGAUCUUUGACUUCAUCAUUACACCAAGAUGCAAGAACAAAUCCUGGAACGGCCUGAGUGCUGACCUGGAACAAAAUUUUAUGGAAAAGGCUGGACUCCCUGUUUCUGACUGAUGCUCAUAAUAGGGCAUAGCCAGAAUCUUUUUUUUUUUUUUAAUUUUUUGCAUAGCCCGAUUCUUUUUUUUUUAUUUUUUAUUUUUUGCAUAGCCAGAUUCUUUUUUUUUUUUUUUAAUUUUUUGCAUAGCCCGAUUCUUAAGGUCACUUGCAGAAAGGGCUCCAGCUGAAAGAGUCCCUACGCACAUCUACGACAAUCUCGUUUUGGACGACAGGUUGGUGACUGUCCACGGCUUCCCUAACCCACCCCCCUGUGCAUGGGAGGCGGCGUAGGAACAAGAAGCGCUCCUGUUGGGACAGCAUCGCAGUUAUUACCCUCCCAAAAGGGGAAUGCUUUGCGGAGGGUCCUUCGGUCCCAGUCCCAGCCGCUGUCCCCGGAAGUCCUGCGAUCCCCGAACACGGCAGCUGUCCCUUCUGCGAAAGAAACGACUUGUUGGGCAUCUGCCACGUGCGAAAUAAACGGGAAGGUCCGGAAGGUUCCAGAAAUGAAGAGGCGCCGCUGCGGUCCUCAGGAGCGCGCGCGCCCCGCCCCUCACCCGGUCUCCGCGCCGAGCCCCGCCCCUGUACCUGCGAGCGGCGCCGCAUCCUAAGAAACCUGGCGCGUCCCGGCGGGGGGGGGGGAGGG
Molecule: long non-coding RNA, 1207 nt
Organism: Canis lupus familiaris (dog)
Lineage: Eukaryota; Metazoa; Chordata; Mammalia; Carnivora; Canidae
Exons: 4
Source: RefSeq, a predicted model, not a curated record